Molecule: ribosomal RNA, 321 nt
Filed under: uncultured eukaryote
Lineage: Eukaryota
Description: partial 18S ribosomal RNA
Rfam family: Eukaryotic small subunit ribosomal RNA
Source: RNAcentral
CCCUUAGAUGUUCUGGGCCGCACGCGCGCUACACUGACUGGUGCAACAAGUGUCGCUCCUUGGCCGAUAGGCCUGGGCAAUCUUUGAACGCCAGUCGUGAUGGGGAUAGAUUCUUGCAAUUUUUGAUCUUCAACGAGGAAUUCCUAGUAAACGCGAGUCAUCAACUCGCAUUGAUUACGUCCCUGCCCUUUGUACACACCGCCCGUCGCACCUACCGAUUGAAUGGUCCGGUGAAAUCUCGGGACGGCGGCUUGGUCGCUUGCGUCCGACUGCUGAAACUUGAUUAAACCAUAUCAUUUAGAGGAAGGUGAAGUCGUAACA